RNAcentral lists this non-coding RNA (30 nucleotides) under Mus musculus (house mouse). The record is from RNAcentral. Lineage: Eukaryota; Metazoa; Chordata; Mammalia; Rodentia; Muridae.
UGAAAUUAGUCGUCCUUACGCUGGCAUUUG